This 980-nucleotide ribosomal RNA is filed under the name Alcanivorax jadensis. RNAcentral's name for it is "bacterial SSU rRNA". It matches the Rfam family "Bacterial small subunit ribosomal RNA", at positions 90 to 1061 of the family's 1533-position model. Lineage: Bacteria; Pseudomonadati; Pseudomonadota; Gammaproteobacteria; Oceanospirillales; Alcanivoracaceae. The record is from RNAcentral.
GUCGAGCGGCGGACGGGUGAGUAACGCGUGAGAAUCUGCCCAUUUGUGGGGGAUAACUCGGGGAAACUCGAGCUAAUACCGCAUAAUCCCUACGGGGGAAAGCAGGGGACCUUCGGGCCUUGUGCAGAUGGAUGAGCUCGCGUCGGAUUAGCUUGUUGGUGAGGUAAAAGCUCACCAAGGCGACGAUCCGUAGCUGGUCUGAGAGGAUGAUCAGCCACACCGGGACUGAGACACGGCCCGGACUCCUACGGGAGGCAGCAGUGGGGAAUCUUGGACAAUGGGGGCAACCCUGAUCCAGCCAUGCCGCGUGUGUGAAGAAGGCCUUCGGGUUGUAAAGCACUUUCAGUAGGGAGGAAGGCUUACCGCUAAUAACGGUGAGUACUUGACGUUACCUACAGAAGAAGCACCGGCUAAUUUCGUGCCAGCAGCCGCGGUAAUACGAAAGGUGCGAGCGUUAAUCGGAAUUACUGGGCGUAAAGCGCGCGUAGGCGGUUUGUUAAGUCAGAUGUGAAAGCCCCGGGCUCAACCUGGGAAUUGCAUUUGAAACUGGCAGGCUAGAAUGCAGUAGAGGGAGGUGGAAUUUCCGGUGUAGCGGUGAAAUGCGUAGAGAUCGGAAGGAACACCAGUGGCGAAGGCGGCCUCCUGGACUGACAUUGACGCUGAGGUGCGAAAGCGUGGGGAGCAAACAGGAUUAGAUACCCUGGUAGUCCACGCCGUAAACGAUGUCUACUAGUCGUUGGGAAUCUUAGUAUUCUUGGUGACGAAGUUAACGCGAUAAGUAGACCGCCUGGGGGAGUACGGCCGCAAGGUUAAAACUCAAAUGAAUUUGACGGGGGCCCGCACAAGCGGUGGAGCAUGGGGGUUUAAUUCGAUGCAACGCGAAGAACCUUACCAGGCCUUGACAUCCUUGGAACUUUCUAAAAGAUAGAUUGGUGCCUUCGGGAGCCAAGUGACAGGUGCUGCAUGGCUGUCGUCAGCUC